This is a long non-coding RNA of Pocillopora damicornis (cauliflower coral), 565 nucleotides long. The record is from RefSeq and is a predicted model, not a curated record. NCBI's taxonomy places the organism in Eukaryota, Metazoa, Cnidaria, Anthozoa, Scleractinia, Pocilloporidae.
CUACAUAGAGUGAGCUCACAUCAUUAUUUAUAUCACCAAGGUAUCCAUGGUCUAGAAGCAGAGAACCGGUCGGAGAAGUCAGAAUAAAGUUGUGCGCUUCUCUCAACAAUGCAAUCGGCAAGCCAGCGGAUUCACUUUGCUAGCCAAUGACAAGUCCUAAAAGAUCCACGUGAUCAUGCCCGUGAUCGGAAACAAAGAAGACUCCAUUUGGCGCUCAUCUUUGAAUGUACUUUUCAUCGAUUGAUCGUUUUUCUCAACUGUUUUGCUUAAUAUAACAUUUCUAAAGAUAACUUUUAUUGUGGUUCAAUGGGAAAACGAGAACAGCGUGAGUGUUGUAAAAGAAAGGAAAGUCGUUGGCGCCGUGGAGUUAAAAGAAGGGACAACAGUUGACAUAUUGACUGGUACAAACAAGGGUCGAGUGGCCAUCUGUAAAGCUACGAUUUUGAAAGUUUGUGAUGUCAUGGAAUCCAGAUACAAAAUGGUCAAGCUUCUUGUAGACAACCUCAUUCAAGGCCAACUCAUUGUGAGCCCAGGAAAAAAAAUACAAACAGUAGCUAAGUUUGCA